CCCGCGGGCCCUGGGGGCCGCUCGCAGGGUGUUCGCUGGCGCCCGGAUGUCUGAGCUCUGGCUCCACUCUGGCUCCGGCUCCCUCCGCAGCCUGCGGGGGGGGCUCGCAGCCCAUCCGGAGCCUCGCGGCGCCCCCGCCGCUUCUGCCAGCAGCGCGGCCUGCAGCUCUCAACCUCCCGGCCUGGGGUCAAACAACGAAGAAAAAGCGCAAUAAAGUCAGCCACCAUAGACACAGUGACAGUGCAGAUUUUCGGCACGUGACUGCCCUCUUGUGACCAGAUGCUGCAACUGUCAGCUAUCGCCCUGGAGGAGAGAAACGUCUUCCUGGCUACGAAUCUACUGUGUUCCAGAUUCCCGUGCGUCUCAGAUCUAAUCCUCAUCCUGUGGGAUGGGCGUUCUUAUUCUAUUUACGCAUGUGCAUGCUUAAGCCGAGGCUUCCAGAGAACAUCGAGCGGUAAAAAACCGGGCGGUUGUUAAGAGGGCCAACUUAGGCAGCAUUAAUGCAAAUGUCUGCUACUGCCUCAAGGCCUUGGGAAAAUGAUCAAACUCUCUGUUCCCAUUUCACUUCUGUUGCUGUGACCAAAAAAGCAAUUUAUGGAAGAAAGAGUUUAUUCAGCUUACAGCCCCAGGUUAGACCGUUACUUUAGGGAAGUCAAGGCAAGAACUUGAAGCAUUGUACCCACAGUCAAGAGCAGAAAGAAAAUAAACGCAUGGUUCUUGGCUUGCUAGUGAGCUUUCUCCUCUUCUCUUAGACUACUUACAACUCCAGUUUAGGCUGGGUCUUCCUGCAAGCAUGAUAAUCCCUGGCUGACAUGCCCACACACAAUCUGAUUUAGAUAAUUCCUCAUUAACACUUUCUUCCCAAG
Molecule: long non-coding RNA, 866 nt
Filed under: Cricetulus griseus (Chinese hamster)
Lineage: Eukaryota; Metazoa; Chordata; Mammalia; Rodentia; Cricetidae
Description: lncRNA (ENSCGRG00015033015.1)
Source: RNAcentral